GAUGAACGCUGGCGGCGUGCCUAAUACAUGCAAGUCGAGCGAACAGAUGAGGAGCUUGCUCCUCUGGCGUUAGCGGCGGACGGGUGAGUAACACGUGGAUAACCUACCUAUAAGACUGGGAUAACUUCGGGAAACCGGAGCUAAUACCGGAUAAUAUAUUGAACCGCAUGGUUCAAUAGUGAAAGACGGUUUUGCUGUCACUUAUAGAUGGAUCCGCGCCGCAUUAGCUAGUUGGUAAGGUAACGGCUUACCAAGGCAACGAUGCGUAGCCGACCUGAGAGGGUGAUCGGCCACACUGGAACUGAGACACGGUCCAGACUCCUACGGGAGGCAGCAGUAGGGAAUCUUCCGCAAUGGGCGAAAGCCUGACGGAGCAACGCCGCGUGAGUGAUGAAGGUCUUCGGAUCGUAAAACUCUGUUAUUAGGGAAGAACAAAUGUGUAAGUAAAUAUGCACGUCUUGACGGUACCUAAUCAGAAAGCCACGGCUAACUACGUG
Molecule: ribosomal RNA, 497 nt
Filed under: uncultured bacterium
Lineage: Bacteria
Description: partial 16S ribosomal RNA
Rfam family: Bacterial small subunit ribosomal RNA
Source: RNAcentral